RNAcentral lists this ribosomal RNA (200 nucleotides) under uncultured organism. RNAcentral's name for it is "partial small subunit ribosomal RNA". It matches the Rfam family "Bacterial small subunit ribosomal RNA", at positions 1183 to 1382 of the family's 1533-position model. The record is from RNAcentral.
CGUCAAAUCAUCAUGCCCCUUAUGUCUUGGGCUACACACGUGCUACAAUGGCUGCGACAGAGGGAAGCGAAGGGGCGACCUGGAGCGAAACCCAAAAAAGCAGUCCCAGUUCGGAUUGUAGUCUGCAACCCGACUACAUGAAGUCGGAAUCGCUAGUAAUCGCGAAUCAGCAUGUCGCGGUGAAUACGUUCCCGGGUCUU